RNAcentral lists this ribosomal RNA (607 nucleotides) under Corynebacterium sp. C412-B. RNAcentral describes it as "bacterial SSU rRNA". It matches the Rfam family "Bacterial small subunit ribosomal RNA", at positions 51 to 674 of the family's 1533-position model. Lineage: Bacteria; Bacillati; Actinomycetota; Actinomycetes; Mycobacteriales; Corynebacteriaceae. The record is from RNAcentral.
ACACUGCAAGUCGAACGGAAAGGCCCAAGCUUGCUUGGGUGCUCGAGUGGCGAACGGGUGAGUAACACGUGGGUGAUCUGCCCUGCACUUCGGGAUAAGCCUGGGAAACUGGGUCUAAUACCGGAUAGGACCAUCGUGAUGUGGCGGUGGUGGAAAGUUUUUUCUGUGUGGGAUGAGCUCGCGGCCGAUCAGCUUGAUGGUGGGGUAAUGGCCUACCAAGGCGUCGACGGGUAGCCGGCCUGAGAGGGUGUACGGCCACAUUGGGACUGAGAUACGGCCCAGACUGCUACGGGAGGCAGCAGUGGGGAAUAUUGCACAAUGGGAGCAAGCCUGAUGCAGCGACCCCGCCUGGGGGAUGACGGCCUUCGGGUUGUAAACUCCUUUCGCCAGGGACGAAGCGUUAUGUGACGGUACCUGGAGAAGGCACCGGCAAACUACGUGCCAGCAGCCGCGGUAAUACGUAGGGUGUGAGCGUUGUCCGGAAUUACUGGGCGUAAAGAGCUCGUAGGUGGUUUGUCGCGUCGUUUGUGUAAUACCGCAGCUUAACUGUGGGGUAGCAGGCGAUACGGGCAUAACUUGUGCUGUAGGGGAGACUGGAAUUCCUGGU